Molecule: ribosomal RNA, 435 nt
Filed under: uncultured Flavobacterium sp.
Lineage: Bacteria; Pseudomonadati; Bacteroidota; Flavobacteriia; Flavobacteriales; Flavobacteriaceae
Description: bacterial SSU rRNA
Rfam family: Bacterial small subunit ribosomal RNA
Source: RNAcentral
GGAAUAUUGGACAAUGGGCGCAAGCCUGAUCCAGCCAUGCCGCGUGCAGGAUGACGGUCCUAUGGAUUGUAAACUGCUUUUGCACAGGAAGAAACAACGCUACGUGUAGCGUCUUGACGGUACUGUGAGAAUAAGGAUCGGCUAACUCCGUGCCAGCAGCCGCGGUAAUACGGAGGAUCCAAGCGUUAUCCGGAAUCAUUGGGUUUAAAGGGUCCGUAGGCGGUCUUAUAAGUCAGUGGUGAAAUCUCCCCGCUCAACGGGGAAACGGCCAUUGAUACUGUAGGACUUGAAUUAUUAGGAAGUAACUAGAAUAUGUAGUGUAGCGGUGAAAUGCUUAGAGAUUACAUGGAAUACCAAUUGCGAAGGCAGGUUACUACUAAUGGAUUGACGCUGAUGGACGAAAGCGUGGGUAGCGAACAGGAUUAGAUACCCUGG